GCAGUGGUGUCCAAGUGGUUAAGGGAUUUAACUCGAAAUCAAAUGGGCUCUGCCCGGGUAGGUGCGAAUCCUACCCGUUGUA
This 82-nucleotide transfer RNA is filed under the name Wuchereria bancrofti. It matches the Rfam family "tRNA". From Rfam's summary of the family: Transfer RNA (tRNA) molecules are approximately 80 nucleotides in length. Their secondary structure includes four short double-helical elements and three loops (D, anti-codon, and T loops). The record is from Rfam by way of RNAcentral. Lineage: Eukaryota; Metazoa; Nematoda; Chromadorea; Rhabditida; Onchocercidae.